CACGUAGGGGGCGAGCGUUGUCCGGAUUUAUUGGGCGUAAAGAGCUCGUAGGCGGCUUAGUAAGUCGGGUGUGAAAACUCCGGGCUCAACCUGGAGACGCCACCCGAUACUGCUAUGGCUAGAGUCCGGUAGAGGAGUGUGGAAUUCCCAGUGUAGCGGUGAAAUGCAUAGAUAUUGGGAGGAACACCAAUGGCGAAGGCAGCACUCUGGGCCGGUACUGACGCUGAGGAGCGAAAGCGUGGGGAGCAAACAGGAUUAGAUACCCGUGUAGU
Molecule: ribosomal RNA, 272 nt
Filed under: uncultured bacterium
Lineage: Bacteria
Description: partial 16S ribosomal RNA
Rfam family: Bacterial small subunit ribosomal RNA
Source: RNAcentral